GAUGAACGCUGGCGGCGUGCCUAAUACAUGCAAGUCGAGCGAACAGACGAGGAGCUUGCUCCUCUGACGUUAGCGGCGGACGGGUGAGUAACACGUGGAUAACCUACCUAUAAGACUGGGAUAACUUCGGGAAACCGGAGCUAAUACCGGAUAAUAUAUUGAACCGCAUGGUUCAAUAGUGAAAGACGGUUUUGCUGUCACUUAUAGAUGGAUCCGCGCCGCAUUAGCUAGUUGGUAAGGUAACGGCUUACCAACGCAACGAUGCGUAGCCGACCUGAGAGGGUGAUCGGCCACACUGGAACUGAGACACGGUCCAGACUCCUACGGGAGGCAGCAGUAGGGAAUCUUCCGCAAUGGGCGAAAGCCUGACGGAGCAACGCCGCGUGAGUGAUGAAGGUCUUCGGAUCGUAAAACUCUGUUAUUAGGGAAGAACAAAUGUGUAAGUAACUAUGCACGUCUUGACGGUACCUAAUCAGAAAGCCACGGCUAACUACGUG
This 497-nucleotide ribosomal RNA is filed under the name uncultured bacterium. Its description in RNAcentral is "partial 16S ribosomal RNA". It matches the Rfam family "Bacterial small subunit ribosomal RNA", at positions 28 to 507 of the family's 1533-position model. The record is from RNAcentral.